CAGCAAGAGAGAUUUUAGGAACCUUUGAAUUGAUUUACUGCUCUGGCAUUAAGAUUGAAAAAGCAUGGGUCCUGAAAAAGUGUUACUACUGCUACUAAUACUAACAACUCAGAAGAUGAUGGCUGCACAGACAACUACAAGUCCUACAACCAUCACAAGUGCUUAUUCAACAACAAACAAAGUGGCAACAACAAGAAGCACUCCAGACACAACAACAGCAGUUGUUACCUCAACAACGUCAGACACAACUACAGAGCCUCAACCAACAACUGUAGUUGUUCCAGAAACUACAACAGCUAUUCCAGUACAAACUACAGCUGUUCCAACUGCAACUGCAACCACACUCUCUGUAACAACAGGUGGUCGCACAACAACCACAGAAGAAAAAUCCAAAACAACAGCAACUCCAACAACAACCACAGCACCAUCAAGUACAGCUGAUGCAAAAACAACCACUACAGCUGCUACAUCCACAACUGCUGCAUUAACCACAACAAAAAAUGCAAUAAUCACAACCAAAGCAGCUGAAA
Xiphophorus couchianus (Monterrey platyfish) is the source of this 530-nucleotide long non-coding RNA. RefSeq lists it as uncharacterized. Lineage: Eukaryota; Metazoa; Chordata; Actinopteri; Cyprinodontiformes; Poeciliidae. The transcript is spliced from 3 exons. The record is from RefSeq and is a predicted model, not a curated record.